GUGAGGAAUAUUGGACAAUGGGCGCAAGCCUGAUCCAGCCAUGCCGCGUGCAGGAAGACGCAUCUAUGGUGUGUAAACUGCUUUUGUACGGGAAGAAACACUCCCUCGUGCGGGAGCUUGACGGUACCGUAAGAAUAAGGAUCGGCUAACUCCGUGCCAGCAGCCGCGGUAAUACGGAGGAUCCAAGCGUUAUCCGGAAUCAUUGGGUUUAAAGGGUCCGUAGGCGGUUUAAUAAGUCAGUGGUGAAAGCCCAUCUCUCAACGAUGGAACGGCCAUUGAUACUGUUAGACUUGAAUUACAAGGAAGUAACUAGAAUAUGUAGGGUAGCGGUGAAAUGCUUAGAUAUUACAUAGAAUACCAAUUGCGAAGGCAGGUUACUACUUGUGGAUUGACGCUGAUGGACGAAAGCGUGGUGAGCGAACAGGAUUAGAAACCCCUGUAGUCC
Molecule: ribosomal RNA, 445 nt
Filed under: uncultured bacterium
Lineage: Bacteria
Description: partial 16S ribosomal RNA
Rfam family: Bacterial small subunit ribosomal RNA
Source: RNAcentral